Long non-coding RNA from Herpailurus yagouaroundi (jaguarundi), 975 nucleotides. RefSeq lists it as uncharacterized. NCBI's taxonomy places the organism in Eukaryota, Metazoa, Chordata, Mammalia, Carnivora, Felidae. The transcript is spliced from 3 exons. The record is from RefSeq and is a predicted model, not a curated record.
CCUCCUCUGGCCUUCUGUCCAGACCAUCUUCCCUACACAGCCUUCCCCACCCUGCCACCACGUCCAGGCUGUGGAGAUGCAGGCAGGAUAGACCGGCCGGAAGGCCUAAGGAGAGUCAGCGUCAGGCCAACUGUCCGCCCCAGGCAGUCAGCAUCCCCAGUGAGCCGAGCGAGAGCGGUUUGUUCUUACCCUACAUGCAAGGCCUCUCCUGCGAAGACACUACCACCAAAUACCCCCGGGGGGCCCAUUACACCAUCGAGGACUCAGUAUUCACCAUCGUGGGCUUCUGACUCUGCCUCUUCAGGGUGAGGGGCUGGCCACUUUCCGCCCGUGCAGUGGUGACACGCCACGGGCCAGCUUCCCCCCUUUUUUCUGGCAAAGCGUAAGCCGGAGGCAGGGGCAGGUACCAACUCUGCUCCCAACGAGAUGGGAAAUCGCGCUGCUCCACGGCACAGAACCCCUCUCCUUGAGGAACCACAUGAGAAAGUCGGGCCUGGCUUGUUAACUGGGCCAUCUCAUCAGACCCUCCCCAUGGCCCUAGAGGGCAGGCAUUGACCGCCCCAUCUUGCAGAUAAGGAAAUUCAGCCAAAGACAAGCAAAGUGACCGUGCAAGGUCAUUCAGCUAACAAGAAAUGCCAAGGUUCAACGCCAGGCAAGGCUGGAGCUGGCCGCACCUGCCAAGGACCCAAAGCCCAACAGAGGUGUCCAGGGGGAGCGCACUGUCCCCCACAACCUCCAUCAGCGUCCACAAGCAUCCCCAGCCAAACAUGAAAGAAAAAUCGUGGUGUCACUUACUAUGCGGCUCCAGGACAAGUCCUCCAGGAACCGCCCGCCCCCCGCCCCCCAAAACAGACCGCAGCUCCGGAGCCCCCCCAGCUCGCCCCACUAGGGGUCCUCUCGGUUGUCGCAAGGGUUCUGGCAAAGGAGACCUACACGGAAGGAGGAGGCAGGCUACGGAUGAGAAACUGAGGCAGG